GACGAACGCUGGCGGCGUGCUUAACACAUGCAAGUCGAACGGAAAGGCCCUGCUUUUGCUGGGUGCUCGAGUGGCGAACGGGUGAGUAACACGUGAGUAACCUGCCCUUGACUUUGGGAUAACUUCAGGAAACUGGGGCGAAUACCGGAGAGGAGCUCCUGCUGCAUGGUGGGGGUUGGAAAGUUUCGGCGGUUGGGGAUGGACUCGCGGCUUAUCAGCUGGUUGGUGGGGUAGUGGCUUACCAAGGCUUUGACGGGUAGCCGGCCUGAGAGGGUGACCGGCCACAUUGGGACUGAGAUACGGCCCAGACUCCUACGGGAGGCAGCAGUGGGAAAUAUUGCACAAUGGGCGGAAGCCUGAUGCAGCAACGCCGCGUGCGGGAUGACGGCCUUCGGGUUGUAAACCGCUUUCGCCUGUGACGAAGCGUGAGUGACGGUAAUGGGUAAAGAAGCACCGGCUAACUACGUG
This 468-nucleotide ribosomal RNA is filed under the name uncultured bacterium. RNAcentral's name for it is "partial 16S ribosomal RNA". It matches the Rfam family "Bacterial small subunit ribosomal RNA", at positions 28 to 507 of the family's 1533-position model. The record is from RNAcentral.